Molecule: long non-coding RNA, 1417 nt
Organism: Oncorhynchus keta (chum salmon)
Lineage: Eukaryota; Metazoa; Chordata; Actinopteri; Salmoniformes; Salmonidae
Exons: 7
Source: RefSeq, a predicted model, not a curated record
GACAAAGGUACAGGGAAUAGGACAAAGGUACAGGGAAUAGGACAAAGGUACAGGGAAUAGGACAAAGGUACAGGGAAUAGGACAAAGGUACAGGGAAUAGGACAAAGGUACAGGGAAUAGGACAAAGGUACAGGGAAUAGGACAAAGGUACAGGAAUAGGACAAAGGUACAGGAAUAGGACAAAGGUACAGGGAUAGGACAAAGGUACAGGGAUAGGACAAAGGUACAGGGAAUAGGACAAAGGUACAGGGAAUAGGACAAAGGUACAGGAAUAGGACAAAGGUACAGGGAAUAGGACAAAGGUACAGGGAAUAGGACAAAGGUACAGGGAUAGGACAAAGGUACAGGGAUAGGACAAAGGUACAGGGAAUAGGACAAAGGUACAGGGAUAAGACAAAGGUACAGGGAUAGGACAAAGGUACAGGGAUAGGUACAGGGAUAGGACAAAGGUACAGGGAUAGGACAAAGGUACAGGGAAUAGGACAAAGGUACAGGGAAUAGGACAAAGGUACAGGGAAUAGGACAAAGGUACAGGGAAUAGGACAAAGGUACAGGGAUAGGACAAAGGUACAGGGAAUAGGACAAAGGUACAGGGAUAGGACAAAGGUACAGGGAUAGGACAAAGGUACAGGGAAUAGGACAAAGGUACAGGGACAAAGGUACAGGGAAUAGGACAAAGGUACAGGGAUAGGACAAAGGUACAGGGAUAGGACAAAGGAUAGGACAAAGGUACAGGGAAUAGGACAAAGGUACAGGGAUAGGACAAGGGGACCUGGGUUGUACAGCCUUGAACGAGUCUUACUGUAGUCUGGCAGGACUAGCCUGGGUUAGAGCCUCAUUGACCUACGCCACGGCGUGGUUCGUCGCACAGCUUCCCUUUUAACCCAGCGCCCUGUGUGAUGUCUCUCUGUGUCUGUCUGUCGCACGGCACAGAAAUCUUUCAAUGUUUCCUCUCAGCGCGGGAGGCGGCGAGGAGCCGAGAGAGGGAGAGGGCCAGCAGCAGCGCCGGGGGAGGCCUGACCUCAGGAGGAACCAGAGGAGGAGGGGGAGGGGAGGCGGAGGCCUCGACAUCCCAGGAGGAGAAUCACGGGGAGAGACGGCUGUACGGGGCUGCCUGAGGGACAGGACCUGUACACAGCCGCCUGUAACUCUGUGGUCCACCGCUGUGCUCUGCUGGUGCUGGGGUCAGCUCUGUACUGGGGGAACUGGGGAAGGAGCACCAGGACGAGGGACACAGCAGCUUCCAGUCAGUCGGACUGGGACAGCAGGACGGGACGGGCUUCAUGACCAGGAGUGAGAGUCUCAGUACAGAGAGCUGUCUGGUCCAGUCCAGUCCCAACUACAGGCUAAUGAAGUCCAGGAGCGAAUCAAAUCUGUCCCUGUCUGAUGAGGAGGGAUGCACUCUGAGUGGCAGGAG